CCAAAGGCUCUUUUCAGAGCCACCUACCCUUUCAGAGAAACAGGUG
Non-coding RNA from Sus scrofa (pig), 46 nucleotides. Lineage: Eukaryota; Metazoa; Chordata; Mammalia; Artiodactyla; Suidae. The record is from Rfam.